This is a long non-coding RNA of Papaver somniferum (opium poppy), 275 nucleotides long. RefSeq lists it as uncharacterized. The transcript is spliced from 4 exons. NCBI's taxonomy places the organism in Eukaryota, Viridiplantae, Streptophyta, Magnoliopsida, Ranunculales, Papaveraceae. The record is from RefSeq and is a predicted model, not a curated record.
CUCGUCUCUGCAGUAGCGAAGUGAAGUCUGGGUUUCGAUCUGAAGCUGAAGAUAAGAGAAUUUAGGGUUUCAGGCUGCAAGUGCAGUUUGAGGUUUUGAGGGUUUCGAUCUGAAGAUAUAUUUCUUAAGAGAAACGAUGCUGGUGACCAUUUUCCCUCACUUGCAAUCUGCUUAGGCUUUGAACUGUUAAGUACCGUUAUCAGGGACUGUCGUAAAGCUUUAUCACCCUGAUUGUGUUGGAAAGGUUCCUCAAUUUGCGAAACUGUGGAGCCCUG